RNAcentral lists this ribosomal RNA (559 nucleotides) under uncultured soil bacterium. Its description in RNAcentral is "bacterial SSU rRNA". It matches the Rfam family "Bacterial small subunit ribosomal RNA", at positions 8 to 576 of the family's 1533-position model. The record is from RNAcentral.
AGAGUUUGAUCCUGGCUCAGGACGAACGCUGGCGGCGUGCUUAACACAUGCAAGUCGAACGGGGUCCAUGCAGUCGCAAGACUGCGGAAGACCGAGUGGCGAACGGGUGCGUAACACGUGAGGAACUUGUCCCGGUCUCUGGAAUAACAAGUGGAAACACUUGCUAAUACCGGAUGCCGUCGGACCGUCGCAUGGCGGUCUGACGAAAGGGUUACCGGAUCGGGAGAGCCUCGCGGCCUAUCAGCUUGUUGGUGAGGUAACGGCUCACCAAGGCAUCGACGGGUAGCUGGUCUGAGAGGAUGAUCAGCCACACUGGGACUGAGACACGGCCCAGACUCCUACGGGAGGCAGCAGUGGGGAAUCUUGCACAAUGGGCGAAAGCCUGAUGCAGCAACGCCCGCGUGCGGGAAGAAGGCCCUAGGGUUGUAAACCGCUUUCAGCAGGGAAGAAGAUGACGGUACCUGUAGAAGAAGGUGCGGCCAACUACGUGCCAGCAGCCGCGGUGACACGUAGGCACCAAGCGUUGUCCGGAUUUAUUGGGCGUAAAGAGCUCGUAGGC